AGAACGAACGCUGGCGGCAUGCCUAACACAUGCAAGUCGAACGAGACCUUCGGGUCUAGUGGCGCACGGGUGCGUAACGCGUGGGAAUCUGCCCUUAGGUUCGGAAUAACUCGGAGAAAUCCGUGCUAAUACCGGAUGAUGACGUAAGUCCAAAGAUUUAUCGCCUAAGGAUGAGCCCGCGUAGGAUUAGCUUGUUGGUGAGGUAACGGCUCACCAAGGCAACGAUCAGUAU
RNAcentral lists this ribosomal RNA (232 nucleotides) under uncultured bacterium. RNAcentral describes it as "partial small subunit ribosomal RNA". It matches the Rfam family "Bacterial small subunit ribosomal RNA", at positions 26 to 286 of the family's 1533-position model. The record is from RNAcentral.